GUGACAAUAACGAUGGGGAUACACCUAUAUCCAUGCCGAACAUAGAAGUUAAGCCCAUCGGUGCCGAAAGUACUUGGCUGGAAGCGGCCUGGAAGGAUAGGACGUUGCUGAAU
This 113-nucleotide ribosomal RNA is filed under the name Veillonellaceae bacterium. The record is from RNAcentral. Lineage: Bacteria; Bacillati; Bacillota; Negativicutes; Veillonellales; Veillonellaceae.